UACGGAGGGUGCGAGCGUUGUCCGGAAUCACUGGGCGUAAAGGGCGCGUAGGCGGCGCGGCAAGCGCGCGGUGAAAGCCCGGGGCUCAACCCCGGGUCGGCCGUGCGGACUGCCGGGCUCGAGCACCGUAGGGGCAGGCGGAAUUCCGGGUGUAGCGGUGGAAUGCGUAGAGAUCCGGAAGAACACCGGUGGCGAAGGCGGCCUGCUGGGCGGUAUGCUGACGCUGAGGCGCGACAGCGUGGGGAGCAAACAGG
This 254-nucleotide ribosomal RNA is filed under the name uncultured bacterium. RNAcentral describes it as "partial 16S ribosomal RNA". It matches the Rfam family "Bacterial small subunit ribosomal RNA", at positions 524 to 776 of the family's 1533-position model. The record is from RNAcentral.